Molecule: transfer RNA, 59 nt
Filed under: Dipodomys ordii (Ord's kangaroo rat)
Lineage: Eukaryota; Metazoa; Chordata; Mammalia; Rodentia; Heteromyidae
Rfam family: tRNA
About the family: Transfer RNA (tRNA) molecules are approximately 80 nucleotides in length. Their secondary structure includes four short double-helical elements and three loops (D, anti-codon, and T loops).
Source: Rfam by way of RNAcentral
GUGGCUCAAUGGUAGAGCCAUGCCUUGCAUGCAUGAGGCCCUGGGUUCAAUUCCUCAGC